Molecule: transfer RNA, 81 nt
Filed under: Candidatus Daviesbacteria bacterium RIFCSPLOWO2_01_FULL_39_12
Lineage: Bacteria; Candidatus Daviesiibacteriota
Description: tRNA-Leu
Rfam family: tRNA
About the family: Transfer RNA (tRNA) molecules are approximately 80 nucleotides in length. Their secondary structure includes four short double-helical elements and three loops (D, anti-codon, and T loops). Further hydrogen bonds mediate the characteristic L-shaped molecular structure. tRNAs have two regions of fundamental functional importance: the anti-codon, which is responsible for specific mRNA codon recognition, and the 3' end, to which the tRNAs corresponding amino acid is attached (by aminoacyl-tRNA synthetases). tRNAs cope with the degeneracy of the genetic code in two manners: having more than one tRNA (with a specific anti-codon) for a particular amino acid; and 'wobble' base-pairing, i.e. permitting non-standard base-pairing at the 3rd anti-codon position.
Source: RNAcentral
GCCGAGGUGGCGAAAUGGUAGACGCGCAGGAUUUAGGAUCCUGUGCCGUAAGGCAUGGAGGUUCGAGUCCUCUCCUCGGCA